CCUACGGGGAGUAGCAGUGAGGAAUAUUGGUCAAUGGGCGUAAGCCUGAACCAGCCAAGUCGCUUGAGGGAUGAAGGUUCUAUGGAUCGUAAACCUCUUUUAUAAGGGAAUAAAGUGUGGGACGUGUCCUGUUUUGUAUGUACCUUAUGAAUAAGGAUCGCCUAACUCCGUGCCAGCAGCCGCGGUAAUACGGAGGAUCCGAGCGUUGUCCGGAUUUAUUGGGUUUAAAGGGUGCGUAGGCGGCCUUUUAAGUCAGCGGUGAAAGUCGGUGGCUCAACCAUAGAAUUGCCGUUGAAACUGGGAGGCUUGAGUAUGUGUGAGGCAGGCGGAAUGCGGGGUGUAGCGGUGAAAUGCUUAGAUAUCACGCAGAACCCCGAUGGCGAAGGCAGCCUGCCAAGCCAUGACUGACGCUGAUGCACGAAAGCGUGGGGAUCAAACAGGAUUAGAUACCCGAGUAGUC
Molecule: ribosomal RNA, 460 nt
Filed under: uncultured bacterium
Lineage: Bacteria
Description: partial 16S ribosomal RNA
Rfam family: Bacterial small subunit ribosomal RNA
Source: RNAcentral